CCGAGAUCAUAUUUAUAUGUACAUGUAGGUCCUAUAUAUCCUAUUAAUAAGCUAUCUGAGUAAAAUAUGUCCGUUUGCAAUACUAGGCUGGCCAUGAUGAUUAGAAUAUCCGGUUCGGACACUUCUUCUCUAAAAUCAAAUAAUAAAAUUGAAUGGAUAGGGAAUACUUCCGACUGGCUAUUCAUUUGAUAACAUAACCUAAAUGAGUCAAAUGACGUACAUGUAUAUCUGAAA
RNAcentral lists this long non-coding RNA (234 nucleotides) under Mytilus galloprovincialis (Mediterranean mussel). Lineage: Eukaryota; Metazoa; Mollusca; Bivalvia; Mytilida; Mytilidae. The record is from RNAcentral.